CGUAGGGACCAAGCGUUGUUCGGAUUUACUGGGCGUAAAGGGCGCGUAGGCGGCUUGCCAAGUCACUUGUGAAAUCUCUGGGCUUAACCCAGAACGGCCAAGUGAAACUGACAUGCUAGAGUGCAGAAGGGGCAAUCGGAAUUCUUGGUGUAGCGGUGAAAUGCGUAGAUAUCAAGAGGAACACCUGAGGUGAAGACGGGUUGCUGGGCUGACACUGACGCUGAGGCGCGAAAGCCAGGGGAGCAAACGGGAUUAGAUACCCCGGUAGUCCUGGCCCUAAACGAUGAAUACUUGGUGUCUGGAGUUAUUAGUGCUCCGGGUGCCGUCGCUAACGUUUUUAGUAUUCCGCCUGGGAGUACGCUCGCAAGAGUG
RNAcentral lists this ribosomal RNA (372 nucleotides) under uncultured organism. Its description in RNAcentral is "bacterial SSU rRNA". It matches the Rfam family "Bacterial small subunit ribosomal RNA", at positions 526 to 896 of the family's 1533-position model. The record is from RNAcentral.